Molecule: ribosomal RNA, 298 nt
Filed under: uncultured bacterium
Lineage: Bacteria
Description: partial 16S ribosomal RNA
Rfam family: Bacterial small subunit ribosomal RNA
Source: RNAcentral
AGUGAACGCUGGCGGUAGGCCUAACACAUGCAAGUCGAACGGCAGCACAGAGGAGCUUGCUCCUUGGGUGGCGAGUGGCGGACGGGUGAGGAAUACAUCGGAAUCUACCUUGUCGUGGGGGAUAACGUAGGGAAACUUACGCUAAUACCGCAUACGACCCCAUACCGAGAGGUAUAAGGUGAAAGUAGGGGAUCGCAAGACCUUACGCGAUUGGAUGAGCCGAUGUCGGAUUAGCUAGUUGGCGGGGUAAGGCCCACCGAGGCGACGAUCCGUAGCUGGUCUGAGAGGAUGAUCAGCC